RNAcentral lists this unclassified non-coding RNA (223 nucleotides) under fungal sp. Its description in RNAcentral is "partial internal transcribed spacer region". The stretch from base 1 to 46 matches the Rfam family "Eukaryotic small subunit ribosomal RNA", at positions 1786 to 1831 of the family's 1831-position model. The record is from RNAcentral. Lineage: Eukaryota; Fungi.
AAGUCGUAACAAGGUUUCCGUAGGUGAACCUGCGGAAGGAUCAUUACCUUUCAGGGAACUAUAGUCUUCUAUAGAUCCUGUCUACACCCAUGUCUAUUGCGUACUUAUGUUUCCUCGGCGGACUUGUUCCGCCGACUGGACUCUUCAAAACCUUUGUAAUUGUAAUCAGCGUCUGAAAAAUAUUUAAUAUUUACAACUUUCAACAACGGAUCUCUUGGUUCUG